This 333-nucleotide unclassified non-coding RNA is filed under the name uncultured Glomeraceae. RNAcentral's name for it is "sequence contains 18S rRNA gene". Lineage: Eukaryota; Fungi; Glomeromycota; Glomeromycetes; Glomerales; Glomeraceae. The record is from RNAcentral.
CCCAACUAUCCCUAUUAAUCAUUACAUCGAUCCUAGAAACCAACAAAAUAGAAUCAAACGUCCUAUUCCGUUAUUCCAUGCUAAUGUAUUCAAGCGUGAGCCUGCUUUAAACACUCUAAUUUUUUCAAAGUAACAGUCCUGAUUCCCCAAAACACCAAAUUAAUGGCAUUAAGAUUCGUCAGAAAGGAGAAACCAAUAAUACCAGUACGUACAAAAGCACGACCAAUAAACCGGUCUCGAAAUUCAACUACGAGCUUUUUAACUGCAACAACUUUAAUAUACGCUAUUGGAGCUGGAAUUACCGCGGCUGCUGGCACCAGACUUGCCCUCCAA